GACGAACGCUGGCGGCGUGCCUAAUACAUGCAAGUUGAGCGAUGAAGAUUGGUGCUUGCACCAAUUUGAAGAGCAGCGAACGGGUGAGUAACGCGUGGGGAAUCUGCCUUUGAGCGGGGGACAACAUUUGGAAACGAAUGCUAAUACCGCAUAACAACUUUAAACAUAAGUUUUAAGUUUGAAAGAUGCAAUUGCAUCACUCAAAGAUGAUCCCGCGUUGUAUUAGCUAGUUGGUGAGGUAAAGGCUCACCAAGGCGAUGAUACAUAGCCGACCUGAGAGGGUGAUCGGCCACAUUGGGACUGAGACACGGCCCAAACUCCUACGGGAGGCAGCAGUAGGGAAUCUUCGGCAAUGGACGAAAGUCUGACCGGGCAACGCCGCGGGAGUGAAGAAGGUUUUCGGAUCGUAAAACUCUGUUGGUAGAGAAGAACGUUGGUGAGAGUGGAAAGCUCAUCAAGUGACGGUAACUACCCAGAAAGGGACGGCUAACUACGUG
Molecule: ribosomal RNA, 497 nt
Filed under: uncultured bacterium
Lineage: Bacteria
Description: partial 16S ribosomal RNA
Rfam family: Bacterial small subunit ribosomal RNA
Source: RNAcentral